CGACAUAUUUUUUGACAGAACCAUAAAAAGUUAGCCGAAAAAUACUCUCGGCCAAAAUUUUUUUUGCUUCUUGCGCUACGUCAGUUUACUUACUACAAGUAAUGGGUAGUAUGUUCGUCGGCUAUUUCCUCACUCUGGGGUUA
Molecule: small RNA, 143 nt
Organism: Pseudomonas agarici
Lineage: Bacteria; Pseudomonadati; Pseudomonadota; Gammaproteobacteria; Pseudomonadales; Pseudomonadaceae
Rfam family: Pseudomonas sRNA P14
Source: Rfam